AAUUUAAGUCCUGCUCAGAUCUGCUUCGUAGUGGUCUCCAUCAUUCAUGUCUUUUGUCACCUUGGCAGGUUAGCAGGUAAGGAAGGUGACUUGAACACACUGGUAGCAUGAAGGAUUGGUGCUAUAGCAACAUCCAGGCAGAGCUCAUAGCGCUGGGCGACUGUCCACCUUGACUUCUACUAGACUGUUCAUGGACCAGCAGACCCAGGAGGAAAGGAGUGCAUGAGACAGCUUCCAGAUGCUCUGCAGGAAAGGCCACCUCCUGGAAGUGGCUCUUCUCUCCCUUCCCCAUGCCCCACUUUCCUGAGAUACUCCAGGGAUUGUACCAUUGACUAUAGCUUCCUAGGCCAAUCCUAAUUCAGCCAGAACUCCUCAGAGUGCCCAUAGCCCCUGCCCACAAAGACCUCCUUUCUAACACCCCAGUGCUGCUUUUGUCUCAUUGGACAGCCAGGGCUAGGGGAAGUUUGCUGAUACCCUGGGGUGGAGUGGUAGAGGCUGGCAGCACUGUGACCCAGGGGAGAGCCCCACCCAUCAUUAGGCUCCUCCUAGACAGGAUCCCAUGCUGGGGUUAACUCUCACAGGGGGUCACCCUUCUGAAAUGGAAAAUUAUACUUCCAUUUUCUUUCCCAAAGGGAAAAAGGAAGAAAGAAACAAAAUCGAAAUGACUUCUGACACCUCAUAUUCCAAAGCCGCAGCCAUAAAAGGCCUCCCUGGCUUUGCCCCAGCCCAGACCCUCUCCCUUGAGAGAGCUCACAGCUGCAGGGCUAAUGUCAGAUGUGCCCCCUGGAACAAGGUGUUAGACCAUGGAGAGGACACCCACAGUCCUGCAGCUUUCACCCAUGGCAUCCGAGGGCAGCUGAUGUUGCCACAGCUUCUGAAGUCAGCCCUCCGUCCACCACGCCUUCCUACAUCAGCUCCAUCUGCGUUCUAGUCACUCAACCUACCCCAGACUUGCAAGGGAGGAGUCAGCAAGCCCAGAGCCUCAACUUUCAGGAGGAGAUGCUGAAUGUAAUGAACUCGGUUUACAUUUCAGGGCUGCAAUUCCUCUUACCUUUCACGUGAACUCACAGGCGGAUUAAACCGAAAUAAAACCUACCAUCGGAC
This 1104-nucleotide long non-coding RNA is filed under the name Chinchilla lanigera (long-tailed chinchilla). Its description in RNAcentral is "lncRNA (ENSCLAG00000027583.1)". Lineage: Eukaryota; Metazoa; Chordata; Mammalia; Rodentia; Chinchillidae. The record is from RNAcentral.